AUGUCAAAGCAGCAAGACCUGACUCUGAGUCAUCCUCCAGUAGUGACAGUGAAGCUGAAAAAACAGGGGCAAAUAAAGAAGCAGAUGCUAGGCAAGGUAAACAGAGGAGACGCUCCAUUACAAGUAUCGCAAUCUGUAAAUCUUGACCUACAAACAAGGUGGCCAGUUCUAGAUCUUGAGCAUACUACACACAUCAAGAGGCGUCUGGAUAUCAAAGCACCUUCACCUGACUCUGAAUCUUCAUCAUCUAGCAGAGACAGUGAGAAGGAAAAAACUGGUCACAUAAAGAAACAGGAGCAAGGACAGACCAACAUGGUAAAGCUUCCAAUAAAAGUAUCUCAACGUAGCAUCAAAGCACCAAGACCUUACUCUGAGUCAUCUUCCAGUAGCGACAGUGAAGCUGAAACAACAGGACAAAUAAAGAAACAGGAGCAAGGGCAGACCAACAUUGCAAGCCUUCCAAUUAAAGUAUCCAAAACUGCAAGUACUGACCUACAAACACAGUGGCCAGUCCUAGAUCUUGAGCAUACAACACGCAUCAAGAGGCGUCUUGAUAUCAAAGCACCUUCACCUGACUCAGAAUCAUCAUCUAGCAGUGACAGUGAGGAUGAACAAAAUGGUCACAUAAAAAAACAGGAGCAAGGACAAGCCAACAUCACAAAGCUUCCAAUAAAGGUAUCUCAAACUAAUGUCAAAGCACCAAGACCUGACUCUGAUUCAUCUUCCAGUAGUGACAGUGAAGCUGAAACAACAAGCCAAAAAAAGAAGCAGAUGCUAGGCAAGGUGGACAGUGGAGGACACCCAUUUCAAGUAUCUCAAACUGUCCAUCCUGACCUACAAACACAGUGGCCAGUCCUAGAUCUUGAGCAUACCACACGCAUCAAGAGGCGUCUAGAUAUCAAAGCACCAUCACCAACUCUGAUAACUGGCCACUUAAAGAGACAGGAUCAAGGUCAAACCAAUGUGGGAAGGUUUCCAAUUACAGCAUGGCAGCCUAAAAUCAAAGCACAAAAACCUGGCUCUGAAUCAUCUUCCAGCAGUGACAGUGAAGCUGAAAAAACAGGUCACAUAAAGAAACAGGAGCAAGGACAGAUCAACAUGGCAGGUCUUCCAAUUAAAGUAUCUCCUACUGCAAGUACUGACCCGCAAACACAGUGGCCUGUCCUAGAUCUUGAGCAUACAACACGUAUCAAGAGGCAUCUAGAUAUCAAGGCACCAUCACCAGCUUCUGAGUCAUCCUCUAGUAGUGACAGUGAGGAUGACAUAACUGGCCACUUAAAGAGACAGGAGCAAGGACAAACCAAUGUGGGAAGGCUUCCAAUUACAGCAUGGGAACCCAAAAUCAAAGCGCAAAAACCUGCCUCUGAAUCGUCUUCCAGUAGUGACAGUGAAGCUGAAAGGACAGGUCACAUGAAGAAACAGGAGCAAGGACAAACCAAUGUGGGAAGGCUUCCAAUUACAGCAUGGCAACCUAAAAUCAAAGUGCAGAAACCUGGCUCUGAAUCAUCUUCCAGUAGUGACAGUGAAGCUGAAAAAACAGGCCACACAAAGAAACAGGAGCAAGGGCAAACCAAUAUUGCAAGGCUUCCAAUAAAAGUAUCUCAAACUAAUGUCAAAGCACCAAGACCUGACUCGGAGUCAUCAUCUAGUAGUGACAGUGAAGCUGAAACAACAGGCCAAAUAAAGAAACAGGAGCAAGGACAGAUCAACACAGCAAGUCUUUUCACUAAAGUACCUCAUACUGCAAGUAAUGAGCCACAGACACGGUGGCCUCUCCUAGAUCUUGAGCACAAGACAAGCAUCAAGAGACGUCUAGAUAUCAAGGCACAAUCACCGGCUUCCAAGUCAUCAUCUAGUAGUGACAGUGAGGAUGAAACAACACAUCACACAAAGAAGGAGAGGCCAGAGUUGCUGGUAAUUGCAGGUCUUCCAUUUACAGUAUCUCAAACAGUAAGUCGUGAUCCAGAAAAACAGUGGCCAGAUGUAGAUCUUGGUAAUACCACUCGCAUCAAGAGACGUUUGGACAUCAAAGCCCCAUCAUCAACUCCUCAGGCAUUAGUAAGUAGUGGGAGGGAGGGGAAGAGAGAAGAAGCUAUCAAAAUUAGUUCCUCUUCCUCAUCAAGCAGCUCAGACGAGCAAGAGGAGGACAACAACCCCCCUCGAACAGCAGAACCAGAGCCACAUCCAGAUUCACGAUGGCCUCCACUGGGCCUUAGCAGUGCCCCCCAUGUCAAAAGACGCCUGGAUAUCAGGGCACGUUCACCUCCACCUGACUCUUCCAGCAGUAAUGAGAGUGAAGGUGGGACUUCAGAUCUACUUUUAAAAGUGGAAAGGGACAGGACUACUGUGGGAAUUACAAAUAAUCCACUCCAGACAAAAUUGCCAGACUUGAAUAUGAGUAUCCCCCUUGUCAAGAGACGCAUUGAUAUCAAAGCACCUUCACCACAACCAAAUCCCAUUCAGAGUCAUGUGUCUCAUGGAUCUCAACAAUCCAACUCUUCCACAAGUGAUAGUGAAGAUGAAAACCAUACUAGACUAGGACUGGGUGCAUCUACCAUAUCAAAGGCCACAGAAAAGAAGUUCAGUUGGUCUCCGAAGAUCCCAGUGUUACACACUUCUCGCAGUCCACAGACAGAACAUGAUAUCAAGUUAUCAAAGUAUACAGUAAUCACAGAUAGUGUGGGGGACAGAACAAGUGACAACAUUAACACAGCGCCAGUGGUAACCCCAGAAUUAGAGUCACGGUGGGCUUCGAUGAAUCUCGGCAUGUCCCGCUUCAGAAAGCGUCUUGAAAUCACAUCAAAUGAACCCCCAAAUCUGCCCCUGUCACCUCCACCUGACUCCCCCACCAGCAGAACUAGACGAAAGAGAUGGGGUGUAGGAAUCACACAAUCAUCUCUAACCCUAGAGAAGGCUUCUCCCAGUUUGAUGGGUCAAGAUGACAACUCAGUGGAGAAUAAAGAAAGAUUAAGAAAAGCCUACAGCCUCCCCGAAACUGAAGAAAAGUCAACCCCAGAAACAAUGUUGACUAGCUCUGGUAGUCCACAUUUGAAGAAGUACCUUGAUAUCAAGGUGAGUGGAAAGGCUGCACCACCAUUACGGCAAUGGUCUAAUUCCUCCUCCAGCAGCGAUAGCGAAGAUGCAUCAACAGAACAUGAAGGUAAAGGAGGGAGGGCAAGAUCUCAGCUGAAUGACACCAUAGACCACAGUUCGCUAGACCUAAGUCUCGGUGUCCAACGCACUAAUAGGAAUGUUAAUAUCAAGGCACCAUCAUCAAAAUCAAGUAGUUCCUCGUCUUCCUCAAGCGAAAACGAACACGAGGGAACAGGAUACACUGCAAAACAAAGCAGACAUCCAUCAGAUAUGUUAGAAGUAACAGAAAAUAGCUCUCUCAUCACUUAUAAACGUCAAAUUUUCAGUAGCCCGACUCCAGACCAUACAAACCAAAGACAAACAGGGGCUGAAAUAGUAAGUGUUGCACAAGGAGGACCUUUGCUUAGUGUGGGAUUCAGAGAUGAAUCUCUUGCUCCAAGGAGAGUACCCAGUAUGAACUUUGAUGAUAUAGUAAAGAAGAGGAUCGAGCAGUCCAGACACACCACAGAUGUGGACCUGCCGCCUGAGAUAAGGUGGACUGGCAUCGGCCGACAGCCAUCCGACCUUUCUAUCUCCAGUACGAGGAGAACUCUGGAUAUCAACUUAUCAACUCCAUCUGCACAGCCAGAACUUCCCCUCCUUGACACCUUCAACUACUCCAGCAAUAAAAGUGAUGAUGGGACACUAAGGUAUGAGUACUCAUCACUUAGUACAAAGAGUGUUCAUCUUGCAUCCAGCAGAGCUAUUGACAAGUUUGACAACUUACCUGACAGCUUAAAUAAAAUUUCGAGGGCUGUACCUGAGGACAGGAGACAAAGUAAAGGCCUCAGUGCUCUAAAAGCCAUGUCAUCAGAGAGACAAAAGUGGGACACACAAGCUGAAAAUUUAGAUAAGGGUGCAUCUACUCUAUUUGAUGACCCACAACUUGACCACAGUUUUUACAAUCGAAGACCCGAGAAGGACAUCAAGCCCCCUGAGAAAAGCGCAACAGAUUUGUUGUAUGUCAUUCCCCGGUACAGGAGGCAUGACAUUGGAGGUAUUGAACAACCGCAGGAAACGCCACCUCCUAUCCCUGCAACACCACCACCAGAUGAGACAGUAGAGCAUAAAUGGGGUUCUCCACAGAGCAGUAUGAAACAAGGGUUUGUAGGCACCAGAUCCUACCUUCAACAGAACAGAAACAGAGUGGAGCCUGACCCUUCUUUAAUUACAUCGCAAAGCCUGGCAGACUAUUUUGACCCCAUUAACUCAAACAUUAGUCAUGUUUAA
Molecule: long non-coding RNA, 4362 nt
Filed under: Sparus aurata (gilthead seabream)
Lineage: Eukaryota; Metazoa; Chordata; Actinopteri; Spariformes; Sparidae
Description: lncRNA (ENSSAUG00010024597.1)
Source: RNAcentral